UAACGAGUUAGGGCCUCCGUGCCCGACCUCCAACCCUCUUGUAUCACAAAACCUCGUUGCCUCGGGGGUGGCCCUGCCUCACGGCGGGCCCCCCGGAGGACCACUCAAACACUGCAUUUUAAUGUCGUCUGAGUUAGAUUUUAAAUGAAAUCAAAACUUUCAACAACGGAUCUCUUGGUUCUGGCAUCGAUGAAGAACGCAGCGAAAUGCGAUAAGUAAUGUGAAUUGCAGAAUUCAGUGAAUCAUCGAAUCUUUGAACGCAUAUUGCGCCCCUUGGUAUUCCUUGGGGCACACCUGUUCGAGCGUCAUUUCACCAAUCAAGCCUCGCUUGGUGUUGGGCGAUGCGCACGUCGCACGCCUCAAAUGCCCCGGCCGAGCAGUCUCUCACCCGGCGUCGUGGAAACAUACCGCUACGGAGACGAGACCUGCCCGUGCCGCAGAAUAACCUAUUUUCUAAAGGUUGACCUCGGAUCAGGUGGGGAUACCCGCUGAACUUAA
This 498-nucleotide ribosomal RNA is filed under the name Capnodium sp. SZ-F22. Its description in RNAcentral is "eukaryotic LSU rRNA". The stretch from base 155 to 308 matches the Rfam family "5.8S ribosomal RNA". The record is from RNAcentral. Lineage: Eukaryota; Fungi; Ascomycota; Dothideomycetes; Capnodiales; Capnodiaceae.